Molecule: ribosomal RNA, 460 nt
Filed under: uncultured bacterium
Lineage: Bacteria
Description: partial 16S ribosomal RNA
Rfam family: Bacterial small subunit ribosomal RNA
Source: RNAcentral
CCUACGGGAGGCAGCAGUGAGGAAUAUUGGUCCAUGGACGAGAGUCUGAACCAGCCAAGUAGCGUGAAGGAUGACUGCCCUAUGGGUUGUAAACUUCUUUUAUAGGGGAAUAAAAUGUCCUACGUGUGGGAUUUUGUAUGUACCAUAUGAAUAAGGAACGGCUAACUCCGUGCCAGCAGCCGCGGUAAUACGGAGGAUCCGAGCUUUAUCCGGAUUUAUUGGGUUUAAAGGGAGCGUAGGUGGAUUGUUAAGUCAGUUGUGAAAGUUUGGUGCUCAACCGUAAAAUUGCAGUUGAAACUGGCAGUCUUGAGUACGGUAGAGGUAGGCGGAAUUCGUGGUGUAGCGGUGAAAUGCUUAGAUAUUACGAAGAACUCCGAUUGCGAAGGCAGCUCACUGGAGUGCAACUGACACUGAGGCUCGAAAGUGUGGGGAUCAAACAGGAUUAGAUACCCUUGUAGUC